CAGCAGCCGCGGGAAUACGUAGGUCCCGAGCGUUGUCCGGACUUAUUGGGCGUAAAGGGAGCGCAGGCGGUUUAGUAAGUCUGAAGUUAAAGGCAUUGGCUCAACCAGUGUAUGCUUUGGAAACUGUUAGACUUGAGUGCAGAAGGGGAGAGUGGAAUUCCAUGUGUAGCGGUGAAAUGCGUAGAUAUAUGGAGGAACACCGGUGGCGAAAGCGGCUCUCUGGUCUGUCACUGACGCUGAGGCUCGAAAGCGUGGGUAGCGAACAGGAUUAGAGACCCCGGUAGUCCCUGUCUCUUAUACA
Molecule: ribosomal RNA, 301 nt
Filed under: uncultured bacterium
Lineage: Bacteria
Description: partial 16S ribosomal RNA
Rfam family: Bacterial small subunit ribosomal RNA
Source: RNAcentral